UACGGAGGGGGCAAGCGUUAUUCGGAAUCAUUGGGCGUAAAGGGCGCGUAGGCGGCUUGGCAAGUCAAAGGUGAAAUCCCUCGGCCUAACCGAGGAACUGCCUUUGAAACUGCUUGGCUUGAGGCCGGGAGAGGGUAGCGGAAUUCCCAGUGUAGCGGUGAAAUGCGUAGAUAUUGGGAGGAACACCAGUGGCGAAGGCGGCUACCUGGACCGGUUCUGACGCUGAGGCGCGAAAGCGUGGGGAGCAAACAGG
RNAcentral lists this ribosomal RNA (253 nucleotides) under uncultured bacterium. Its description in RNAcentral is "partial 16S ribosomal RNA". It matches the Rfam family "Bacterial small subunit ribosomal RNA", at positions 524 to 776 of the family's 1533-position model. RNAcentral also lists the same sequence under 1 other name. The record is from RNAcentral.